UAAAAAUUUAAUUUUUAAGUAUUGAAGUAGUAUUAGUUAAGUUCUUGAAAUUUAAAAGAUUUGGCGGUAUUUUAGUCUAUUCAGAGGAACCUGUUUUGUAAUCGAUAAUCCACGAUGGAUCUUACUUAAACUUGUUUUUAUAGCUUAUAUGUCGUUGUUUAUAGAAUAUUUUUUAAGAAAAAUAAUUUUCUAAAAUUUUAAUUUAAAUUUAUAUCAGAUCAAGAUGUAGCUUAUGUUUAAGUUUAUAAUGGGUUACAGUUAUUUUAUUAAUGGAUAUGGAUUUGUAAUUAGUCUAUUAAAAUUGGAUUUGAUAGUAAAAUUAUAAAGAUUGAUAGUUUGAUUAUAGCUCUAAAAUAUG
Molecule: ribosomal RNA, 358 nt
Filed under: Claraeola sp. Jeff Skevington 16945
Lineage: Eukaryota; Metazoa; Arthropoda; Insecta; Diptera; Pipunculidae
Description: partial 12S ribosomal RNA
Source: RNAcentral